CCAUCCAUCGCUACUACCGGUUGAAUGAUUUAAAGAGGUCUUCAAAUUGGCUCUCGAAGCGUUUGGGGUCACGUCAUCGUGCCGGAAAGAUGACCAAACUUGAUCAUUAAGAGGAAGCAAAAGUCAUAAUAAGCUUUUCGUAGGUGAACCUGCGGAAG
RNAcentral lists this non-coding RNA (158 nucleotides) under Stegodyphus mimosarum. RNAcentral describes it as "eukaryotic small subunit ribosomal RNA". It matches the Rfam family "Eukaryotic small subunit ribosomal RNA", at positions 1669 to 1823 of the family's 1831-position model. Lineage: Eukaryota; Metazoa; Arthropoda; Arachnida; Araneae; Eresidae. The record is from Rfam by way of RNAcentral.